RNAcentral lists this small nuclear RNA (180 nucleotides) under Oncorhynchus tshawytscha (Chinook salmon). Its description in RNAcentral is "U2 spliceosomal RNA". It matches the Rfam family "U2 spliceosomal RNA". Rfam says of the family: U2 is a small nuclear RNA (snRNA) component of the spliceosome (involved in pre-mRNA splicing). Complementary binding between U2 snRNA (in an area lying towards the 5' end but 3' to hairpin I) and the branchpoint sequence (BPS) of the intron results the bulging out of an unpaired adenosine, on the BPS, which initiates a nucleophilic attack at the intronic 5' splice site, thus starting the first of two transesterification reactions that mediate splicing. Lineage: Eukaryota; Metazoa; Chordata; Actinopteri; Salmoniformes; Salmonidae. The record is from Rfam by way of RNAcentral.
AAAACUUUUCCAAAAUAAAGAAAAUCUGUUCUUAUCAGUUUAAUAUCUGAUACGUCCCCUAUCUGGGGACCAUAUAUUAAAUUGAUUUUUGGAAUAGGGAGAUGGAAUAGGGGCUGGGGCUUGCUCCGUCCACUCCACGCCGACCUGGAUGGCAGUACCUCCAGGAACGGUGCACCCCCU